GUGGACGUAGUAUAAUGGUCAUUAUGUGUGCUUGCCAAGCAUAAGAUGGGGGUUCGAUUCCCCUCGUUCACUCCA
This 75-nucleotide transfer RNA is filed under the name Candidatus Phytoplasma cynodontis. Its description in RNAcentral is "tRNA-Gly". It matches the Rfam family "tRNA". Rfam says of the family: Transfer RNA (tRNA) molecules are approximately 80 nucleotides in length. Their secondary structure includes four short double-helical elements and three loops (D, anti-codon, and T loops). Lineage: Bacteria; Bacillati; Mycoplasmatota; Mollicutes; Acholeplasmatales; Acholeplasmataceae. RNAcentral also lists the same sequence under 1 other name. The record is from RNAcentral.